UGCAAGUCGAGCGGACAGAAGGGAGCUUGCUCCCGGACGUUAGCGGCGGACGGGUGAGUAACCCACUUGGUAGGUAAACCCCCCUGCCCCUUUUGGGAGACUGGGAUAAUCUCCCGGGAAACCCCGGGGAGUCUAAUACGGGGGUAUAUAUAAAGAGAAAUUCCCACCGUGUAUUCUCUUUUGAAAAAGACGGGGUUUUGGCGGCUGUCCACUAAAGGGAAUGGGCCCUGGGGGGGCCCAUUAGGCUUAGUUUGGUAAGGUAAACGGCUUACCCAAGGGGGACGAUGCGUUAGCCGACCUUGAGAAGGGGUGAUUCGGCCCACCACUGGGAACUGAGACCACGGGCCCCAGACUCCUUACGGGAGGGCAGCAGUAGGGGAAUUCUUCCGCCAAUGGACGGAAAAGUCUGACGGAAGCAACCGCCGGCGUGAGUGAAGGAAGGCCUUUCGGGUCGUAAAGCUCUGUUGUGAGGGAAGAACCAAGUACCGGGGGUAACUACCCGGUACCUUGACGGUACCUCACCCAGAAAGCCACGGCUAACUACGUGCCAGCAGCCGCGGUAAUACGUAGGUGGCAAGCGUUGUCCGGAAUUAUUGGGCGUAAAGCGCGCGCAGGCGGCUUCUUAAGUCUGAUGUGAAAUCUCGGGGCUCAACCCCGAGCGGCCAUUGGAAACUGGGAAGCUUGAGUGCAGAAGAGGAGAGUGGAAUUCCACGUGUAGCGGUGAAAUGCGUAGAUAUGUGGAGGAACACCAGUGGCGAAGGCGACUCUCUGGUCUGUAACUGACGCUGAGGCGCGAAAGCGUGGGGAGCAAACAGGAUUAGAUACCCUGGUAGUCCACGCCGUAAACGAUGAGUGCUAGGUGUUAGGGGUUUCGAUGCCCGUAGUGCCGAAGUAAACACAUUAAGCACUCCGCCUGGGGAGUACGGCCGCAAGGCUGAAACUCAAAGGAAUUGACGGGGACCCGCACAAGCAGUGGAGCAUGUGGUUUAAUUCGAAGCAACGCGAAGAACCUUACCAGGUCUUGACAUCCUUUGACCACUCUGGAGACAGAGCUUCCCCUUCGGGGGCAAAGUGACAGGUGGUGCAUGGUUGUCGUCAGCUCGUGUCGUGAGAUGUUGGGUUUAAGUCCCGCAACCGAGCGCAACCCUUGAUCUUAAGUUGCCAGCAUUUAAGUUGGGCACUUCUAAGGUGACUGCCCGGUGACAAACCGGAAGGAAGGUGGGGAACGACGUCAAAUCAUCAUGGCCCCUUUAUGACCUGGGCCUACACACGUGCUACAAUGGAUGGUACAAAGGGCAGCGAAACCGCGAGGUGGAGCCAAUCCCAUAAAGCCAUUCUCAGUUCGGAUUGUAGGCUGCAACUCGCCUACAUGAAGCCGGAAUUGCUAGUAAUCGCGGAUCAGCAUGCCGCGGUGAAUACGUUCCCGGGUCUUGUACACACCGCCCGUCACACCACGAGAGUUUGUAACACCCGAAGUCGGUGAGGUAACCUUUGGAGCCAGCC
RNAcentral lists this ribosomal RNA (1503 nucleotides) under Bacillus sp. (in: firmicutes). Its description in RNAcentral is "bacterial SSU rRNA". It matches the Rfam family "Bacterial small subunit ribosomal RNA". The record is from RNAcentral. Lineage: Bacteria; Bacillati; Bacillota; Bacilli; Caryophanales; Bacillaceae.